RNAcentral lists this long non-coding RNA (1951 nucleotides) under Capsella grandiflora. RNAcentral describes it as "long non-coding RNA (CGRA_LNC000222)". The record is from RNAcentral. Lineage: Eukaryota; Viridiplantae; Streptophyta; Magnoliopsida; Brassicales; Brassicaceae.
CUCAGAAGCACUAGGUUUGAGAUCUGAGACCCUCAAGUGCAUGGAUUGCCUGAAAACUUUGCUUAUGAUCUGUCAUUAUUACCCACCUUGUCCACAACCAGACCUAACUUUAGGGAUAAGUAAACACUCAGACAACUCCUUCCUCACGGUUCUUCUUCAAGACAACAUCGGUGGUCUUCAAAUUCUUCAUCAAGACUCUUGGGUCGAUGUCUCUCCUCUUCCCGGAGCUCUCGUCAUCAACAUCGGAGAUUUCUUGCAGGUACAGUAAAAUUAUCAUUAUAAAAAAAAAAUCUACAAAUACUUUAAGAUUAUAUAAGUGUCUUUUGUUUAUAUUCUUACGUUGGAUUUGAUAUUGAUAUUGCAGCUUAUAACGAACGAUAAGUUUGUUAGUGUGGAGCAUAGAGUUCUUGCGAACAGAAAAGGACCAAGGAUUUCAGUAGCUAGCUUUUUCAGCUCAAGUAUACGUCCAAAUUCAAGAGUUUAUGGACCGAUGAAAGAGCUUGUGUCGGAAGAAAACCCUCCAAAGUACAGAGACACAACCAUAAUAGACUACUCCAAAGGAUUCUUUGAGACAGGUCUUGAUGGAACAUCGCAUCUCUCUAAAUUGAGGAUAUGAUAAAAUAUAAACGACAGGUUUAUAUUUUUGUACAACUUUGUUUGGUUCAGUUACUCUAUUUCUCGAGCUUUGCAAUAACUAAAUCAAUGUAUCAAAACUUAGAAAGAAGCGUGUGUGUCUAUCAAUGUAUGUGUGUAUGUUAAUCUACUAUGUUUAAAUAUAAAUCUAUCUUUUGAUGUAGUGGUAAAAAAAAGACACUCAAUUUCAGCUAAUCUAGUCCGUAUAUUAUCCCAAAAAGUACCGAAGAAACAAAUUCAAUUACGACAACUUAUUAUAGUCAAAGUGAGAGAAAGAUACAGUGAAAGAGACAACAUUAAUAUAUAAAUAUGUAAUCAUCAUUGAUGAUGAUCUACUAGUUCCGGUCAAAAUACACAACUCCUAAAUCGUCCUCUUUAAUCUUAAUUCAUUUUGCUUUUUCCUUAGAAAGAAGCAAGAAACAGUAAAAUGGCUAAAAACUCUAUCGAGUUCGAUUGUUACACUGAGCGCAAAGCUUUCGACGAGACAAAAGAAGGUGUAAAGGGGCUCAUCGACGCUAAAAUCACUGAGAUCCCUCGCAUUUUCCACAUCCCUAAAGAUACCUUACGGGACAAGAAACCCUCUGUCUCUGUUUCAGACCUAGCGAUCCCUACCAUCGACUUUGCGAGCAUCGGUGUGGACGCAGCGUCACGUGAAAUCGUCGUAGAGAAAGUUAAAUAUGCGGUGGAGAAUUGGGGAUUCUUCCAGGUGAUUAACCAUGGUGUUCCUUUAGACGUUCUUGAAGAUAUUAAAGAUGCAGUUCGUAGGUUUCACGAGGAAGAAGAUCAUGCCGUCAAGAAAUCAUAUUACUCACUUGAUUUCACCAAGAACAGAUUUGCAUACAGUAGCAAUUUUGAUCUCUAUAGUUCUUCACCGUCUCUAACUUGGAGAGAUUCUAUCUCUUGUUACAUGGCUCCUGAUCCUCCCACUCCUGAGGAGCUCCCAGAGACUUGCAGGUAACGUAAACAUACUAACUUCAACUUCAACCAAUGGCAAAAUUGAAUAGUCAAGACUUUGUUGAGAGUGAUUAGUUCUAAAAGUAUUGAUUUAUUUCAGGGAUGCUAUGAUUGAAUACUCAAAGCAUGUGCUGAGUUUAGGCGAUUUGCUCUUUGAGCUUCUCUCAGAAGCACUAGGUUUGAAAUAUGAGAUCCUUAAGAGCAUGGACUGCUUGAAGAGUUUGCUUAUGAUCUGCCAUUAUUACCCACCUUGUCCACAACCUGACCUAACUUUAGGGAUAAGUAAACACUCGGACAACUCCUUCCUCACGGUUCUUCUUCAAGACAACAUCGGUGGUCUUCAAAUUCUUCAUCAAGACUCUUG